This 253-nucleotide ribosomal RNA is filed under the name uncultured bacterium. RNAcentral describes it as "partial 16S ribosomal RNA". It matches the Rfam family "Bacterial small subunit ribosomal RNA", at positions 524 to 776 of the family's 1533-position model. The record is from RNAcentral.
UACGAAGGGGGCUAGCGUUGCUCGGAAUCACUGGGCGUAAAGCGCACGUAGGCGGAUUGUUAAGUCAGGGGUGAAAUCCUGGAGCUCAACUCCAGAACUGCCUUUGAUACUGGCGAUCUCGAGUCCGGGAGAGGUGAGUGGAACUGCGAGUGUAGAGGUGAAAUUCGUAGAUAUUCGCAAGAACACCAGUGGCGAAGGCGGCUCACUGGGACGGUACUGACGCUGAGACGCGAAAGCGUGGGGAGCGAACAGG